GUGUAUUUGGGUGGAUUACCGGAGCUACAGUAGUUACGUGCUCUCAUUCACCUUGAAUGGAUACCGCCUCCUCUACACCGCAAACAGCCUUCCACGUACCAGUACUGCUACCACGUGCACUACCUCGUGGCACCCUCCAGCCGUUUGUGUGCCCAGUUGUACAGUAUCAACAGGAGCCGCCACACUAUGUGCGCGCGCAUCACCGGAACCGUAAACAUCAAGGGUCACAUUCGCAGCGCCUAUCAGAAUAUCGGCUGUUUCCGUGUCCCAUGCCACACCGACAAUCUAGCCAUUGAGCGCCAAGAGGGCACUGAUCACCUCCCCUCUGAUAACUUUGACCCGGCAUCUGAUAACCUUGACAGUAGAUCCGAUGAGAAAGAGGAGAACCAAGAUGGGAGUUUCGAAGAUAGCGCCGAAGACGACUCUGACUCGGCUUAAAGAUAUGAAUGAACUUCCGAUCUGAAAGAUGUGUCCAACUAAAAUCUUGAUCAUAUUAUGACACUGCUAAGUUGCAGUGUUUUCUUUGUACUUUUACAUGAGUGUGCUACUUAUAUUGUCUUCAGAAAUAUUGAUGUGAAAUUGCAUGAUUUUGUUGCAACAAGUCGCAGUAAUUGUAAAGUUGUGUUUGUAAUUGAAUAUGAGAUCAUAUAUAAAGGUUGCAGCACACACUACCCUUGUUAUACUAGAAAGU
Molecule: long non-coding RNA, 691 nt
Organism: Mya arenaria
Lineage: Eukaryota; Metazoa; Mollusca; Bivalvia; Myida; Myidae
Exons: 3
Source: RefSeq, a predicted model, not a curated record